RNAcentral lists this transfer RNA (72 nucleotides) under Camelus bactrianus (Bactrian camel). It matches the Rfam family "tRNA". From Rfam's summary of the family: Transfer RNA (tRNA) molecules are approximately 80 nucleotides in length. Their secondary structure includes four short double-helical elements and three loops (D, anti-codon, and T loops). RNAcentral also lists the same sequence under 2 other names. Lineage: Eukaryota; Metazoa; Chordata; Mammalia; Artiodactyla; Camelidae. The record is from Rfam by way of RNAcentral.
GAGGGUAUAGCUUAAUGGUAGAGUAUAUGCUUAGCAUGCACGAGGUCCUGGUUUCAAUCCCUAGUAUCUCUA